UGCGUAGGCGGACUAAUAAGUCAGGGGUGAAAUACCACAGCUCAACUGUGGAACUGCCUUUGAUACUGUUAGUCUUGAAUUAUAUGGAAGUAGAUAGAAUGUGUAGUGUAGCGGUGAAAUGCUUAGAGAUUACACAGAAUACCGAUUGCGAAGGCAGUCUACUACGUAUAUAUUGACGCUAAUGGACGAAAGCGUGGGGAGCGAACAGGAUUAGAUACCCUGGUAGUCC
This 229-nucleotide ribosomal RNA is filed under the name uncultured bacterium. RNAcentral's name for it is "partial 16S ribosomal RNA". It matches the Rfam family "Bacterial small subunit ribosomal RNA", at positions 568 to 796 of the family's 1533-position model. The record is from RNAcentral.